AUUGAACGCUGGCGGAAUGCUUUACACAUGCAAGUCGAACGGCAGCACGGGUGCUUGCACCUGGUGGCGGGUGGCGAACGGGUGAGUAACAUAUCGGAACGUGCCCAGUAAUGGGGGAUAACUAACCGAAAGGUUAGCUAAUACCGCAUACGCCCUGAGGGGGAAAGCGGGGGAUCGUAAGACCUCGCGUUAUUGGAGCGGCCGAUAUCUGAUUAGCUAGUUGGUGGGGUAAAGGCCUACCAAGGCGACGAUCAGUAGCAGGUCUGAGAGGAUGAGCUGCCACGCUGGAACUGAGACACGGUCCAGACUCCUACGGGAGGCAGCAGUGGGGAAUUUUGGACAAUGGGGGAAACCCUGAUCCAGCCAUUCCGCGUGAGUGAAGAAGGCCUUCGGGUUGUAAAGCUCUUUCGGCAGGGAAGAAACGGUUCUGGAUAAUACCCGGAGCUAAUGACGGUACCUGAAGAAGAAGCACCGGCUAACUACGUGCCAGCCGCCGCAGUAA
RNAcentral lists this ribosomal RNA (502 nucleotides) under uncultured bacterium. RNAcentral describes it as "partial 16S ribosomal RNA". It matches the Rfam family "Bacterial small subunit ribosomal RNA", at positions 30 to 523 of the family's 1533-position model. The record is from RNAcentral.